CCUCCAAUCAGUGAAACUGAUCUCCCCGUGAAGAAGCGGGGAUAAGUAUAUUAGACGAGAAGACCCCAUGGAGCUUUAAACCCGACAGCACCCACUUAUUUAACACCUUCUUAUCCGCCUGGCCCCUGUCUGCUCGGUUUUGGGUUGGGGUGACCGCGGAGCAUAAAAUAGCCUCCACGAAAGAAGGGAUGAUUCCCUCAUUUUAGAACUACACUUCCAAAGACUAACAAAUUAAUUUUAAGUGAUCCGAUACCCGUAUUCGAUCAACGAACCAAGUUACCCUGGGGAUAACAGCGCAAUCUACCUCAAGAGCCCCUAUCGACAGGUGGGUUUACGACCUCGAUGUUGGAUCAGGGUAUCCCAGUGGUGCAGCAGCUACCAAAGGUUCGUUUGUUCAACGAUUAAAACCCU
Molecule: ribosomal RNA, 411 nt
Filed under: Boophis reticulatus
Lineage: Eukaryota; Metazoa; Chordata; Amphibia; Anura; Mantellidae
Description: partial 16S ribosomal RNA
Rfam family: Bacterial large subunit ribosomal RNA
Source: RNAcentral